Molecule: unclassified non-coding RNA, 2458 nt
Filed under: Dermacentor andersoni
Lineage: Eukaryota; Metazoa; Arthropoda; Arachnida; Ixodida; Ixodidae
Description: uncharacterized LOC126521228
Source: RNAcentral
UAGGUGUUGAGUUCACCUCGUGUCCUCUGUAUUUGUUCUUUGGGCAGGUCAGCAAUUACUAAUUCGUCUACAUUAACCCACCCAUCGCAUGCCGCACACAAAUUUCUUGGGACUUCAGUUCGAGCAUGCUUGUAGAAAUGUGCUGAACACUCUCAGUGCCAUUUGCAAUAUCAAGAUCUGCAAAUAACAGCGUUGUAAUGAAUGAGCCACGGUCACUGACCCUACUUUCACUGUCGCCCGUAAUUCAACUACAUCUUUGCCUUGCCGCUCACACAGCGACUGCACCCACUGUGUCGACACGGGCUUCCUGCCUCGAUGCACCAGCCUUGUAUCGAAGCCCUUCGACAACCUCCUCCUGCUGUAGCAAACGGGAAAACCACACGUUUCCGCUGAGGCAAGUUGGAUCCACAUACGCAGCUGCGGCGCAGGCUGUCUAGACUCUCGCGUGCAUACGUCGCGGCGCCAAAACAAUCGCGCGACGCCUCAUUCACCAGUGCGAGCGCUGUUUGUGGCUUUAGUUCCCUCUGCUUUCACUGGGCCUGACCUUGCUAUCCAUGCGAAAAAAGAAGGCAGGCGCGUCUGUGCCAUACGCUUCCACACUUUCUGAGGCUUGAAGACAGGCAUUCGGCCCCGAGUGCAACCGUUCAUCUACACUGCGUUGGAAAUGCCGGACGGCCAGGGUUUAGGUUCCAGUGGACAGCACAUAUCCUACGCUCCGGUUGUGGUUGGUUCCGAUGACAGAGAACUUGUGGCGAUCAGCAAGGAUGAGACGACCGAAACCGAUAAACUGUCGCAGGGCGUCGAUGGAGUGGACUUCACUGGCACGUACUCACCGGUUGACAAGAAGAAAAGCAUUCUGGAAAGACACAAGAGGAAAAUUUGUCUCCUUCCCAUGAUCCACACUCAGUUCUGGGUGGCUGCAGCGUAUUCACUUUUGGCGCCACUUUUUCCGGCUCUGGCUGUUUCCAGAGGUCUUGAGGCCUGGGAGUAUGGAUUUGCUUUUUCUUUGGGAAAGAUAACCACAUUAAUAGGGUCAGCAUGGGCAAAAAAACUGAUACAGCAGACAUCUCCAAAAUCUGUAUAUCUUAUUGGACAAGUGGGAUACUUCCUGGCAAACGCGGUGUAUGGUGCCUUGUACUGGAUUCCUGGAGACUACAUGAUGUUAGGUGUUGCUUUGUUCGGAGGUGCAUUAGGUGGGUUGAGCGAAUCUCUUUACUGCGUCGCUAGUUAUGCAACAGCCACCGUUGUACUGGCGGACCACCUUGGCUUUGCUGUCGCUGGGAUGCAAGUCCUGUGGGGAUUAGGCGGAGCAACGGGUGCCACACUUGGAGGCGCAAUUGCAGACCUCUGGGGAUAUCCUGCGUCAUUCUUCGUGAUGUCAUCGGGGUUUAUGCUGUCCUCUCCUUUUAUUGCGAAGUCACGGAUCUUCCGAAGAAACCGAAAACCUGCAGCUGGGGAUCCACACGCAAAUGGCGAGAAUACCUGUGGGGAAACCAAUAUGAAGCAUUAUUGGCUGCUUCGGGAUGCUAGGUUCAUUUCUUAUUUGUUCAACUUAUUCCUCAAUGGGCUAAUAUUUGGAUUCCUCGAGCCAACAUUAGAGCCUUAUCUAAAUCAGUUUCAUCACAGUAAUUCAGGCAUUGGCAGUGUCUUCAGCGUAUACGCCCUGACUUUCUGCGUUGCUUCUGCUGUGUGUGGUUUUAUCUGCCACUGUAAGGCUGAGAUCCGUUGCCUGCCGCUCGCCCAUCUGUUCAACAUAACGGGCUUCAUCGUGAUAGGCCCAGCGCCGUUCCUGCCAUUUCAACCCACCAUGAACCUUAUUUACGUUUCCCAAGUGCUGCUGGGUGCAGGAGUCGCAUCGAUGCACGCGCUUUCAUACUCAACUGCAAUCAAGCGCGCAAUCGCUAAAGGUUACAAAGAAGACAUUGACACAAGUAGCUUCGUGUGUGGUGCAAUAUUUGCCGCAUACGUCAUAGGGGCAACUCUGAGUCCACCUAUCAGUGGCUAUGUCGUUGAAGCGUUGGGAUUCCGAGCCGGCUCCAUGAUAAUUUUUGGAGUGCUGGUUGGCUGGAUGAUUGCACUGUUACUACUCCAGAAGAAUUCAAGGAGUGCACACUGACCUAACUGGCACGUAUCGCACUGGUCAGAACGCAUAAAGUACAAUAUGUCGCUGCCCGACAGUUGCCUGCAGAAUGCUGCGCUGCACAACGGGAACAUAUCGUAGACUUUCCACAGAUCACAUCACCAAAUUUCUGCCGUCUUCUGCACUGAAGUGGCUUGGGACUAAAGGGCCGGACAGCAUGUAGGAAAUGACCUACUUCGACAUGCGACGGAAGACAGUCACCCUAUGAAGAGGAUUUUUACACAUUGGAAAUUUCCGAGACGGGCCACCUGGAGUAUUUCGGUCCCAUUUUCGGUAAUCUUAAUCAAAAGUGGCAGAUCGUCGCUUGAGAUGGCCGCA